This 492-nucleotide ribosomal RNA is filed under the name uncultured bacterium. RNAcentral describes it as "partial 16S ribosomal RNA". It matches the Rfam family "Bacterial small subunit ribosomal RNA", at positions 29 to 507 of the family's 1533-position model. The record is from RNAcentral.
AGUGAACGCUGGCGGUAGGCCUAACACAUGCAAGUCGAACGGCAGCACAGUACUAGCUUGCUCUUACGGGUGGCGAGUGGCGGAUGGGUGAGGAAUACACCGGACUCUACUUUUUCGUGGGGGUUAACGUCUGGAUACUUACGCUAAUACCGCCUACGACCUACGGGUGAAAGCAGGAGUUCUUUGGAUCUUGCGCGAUUGCAUGAGCUGAUGUCGUUUUAGUUAGUUGGCGGGGUAAAGGCCCACCAACGCGACGAUCGGUAGCUGGUCUGAGAGGCUGAACAGCCACACUGGGAGUGAGACACGGUCCUGACUCCUACGGGAGGCAGCAGUGGGGAAUAUUGGACGAUGGGGGGAAUCCUGAUCCAGCCAUACCGCGUGGAUGAAGAAGGCCUGCGGGUGGGAUAGCCCUUUUGUGGGGAAAGAAAAGCAGCGGGUUAAAACCCCGCUGUUCUGACGGUACCCAGAUAAUAAGCACCGGCUAACUUCGUG